Sinocyclocheilus grahami is the source of this 627-nucleotide long non-coding RNA. RefSeq lists it as uncharacterized. The transcript is spliced from 2 exons. The record is from RefSeq and is a predicted model, not a curated record. Lineage: Eukaryota; Metazoa; Chordata; Actinopteri; Cypriniformes; Cyprinidae.
UGAGUUAAAUGUGAAACACUGAAGUAUCAAGAUGAUAAUACAAUGGAAAUAAUAUUUUUUAAAGAUGUAAAUAAAACAAAGAUUGCAGUAUGCGUUGCAAGAAAAUACUAUUCAAGUCUUCUUCAAAAUUUCACAUUUAUUUCAGUGUUACUUACGGUUUCAUUGUAAUGAAUUGUACAAUUUAAUGAGUGAAAAUUGUUUCUACACAAUUUUUUUCAGGUGCUAUUUUUAGUUCCAAUAAUUCCUAUUCAUUUUCCAAUGGUUAUUUACAUCCCUGUGACAUAAUUGUUUAAAAAAUAUUUACUGCAAUACAAUGAUUUGUAUUCAAACUAGCAUAAAAGUAAGGAAACAUUUAGUUUUUCUCGUGAUUUGGGGGUUAAAUUUGACCCAGACAUGCUCUUUAAAUGAGAUUUAUUUCAUUCACAUCUCUGUGGUCCCAUACAUCCAAGUGAAAUGCAUUUAGGUCAUCUUACAACAUAAGAAAACAUUACGUUUGCAUGAUUAAAAUCUUUCUUAAAAUUACACAGACUAAAGGGGUUAUCUGGUCUCAUAGACCCAAAACACCAGAGAUACUUUAAAAUAACUCUGUUCAUGAGGUGCAUGGACUUGAUCCAGAAUAGUUCACCA